AUUGAACGCUGGCGGCAGGCCUAACACAUGCAAGUCGAGCGGAUGAGAGGAGCUUGCUCCUGGAUUCAGCGGCGGACGGGUGAGUAAUGCCUAGGAAUCUGCCUGGUAGUGGGGGACAACGUUUCGAAAGGAACGCUAAUACCGCAUACGUCCUACGGGAGAAAGCAGGGGACCUUCGGGCCUUGCGCUAUCAGAUGAGCCUAGGUCGGAUUAGCUAGUUGGUGAGGUAAUGGCUCACCAAGGCGACGAUCCGUAACUGGUCUGAGAGGAUGAUCAGUCACACUGGAACUGAGACACGGUCCAGACUCCUACGGGAGGCAGCAGUGGGGAAUAUUGGACAAUGGGCGAAAGCCUGAUCCAGCCAUGCCGCGUGUGUGAAGAAGGUCUUCGGAUUGUAAAGCACUUUAAGUUGGGAGGAAGGAUUGUAGAUUAAUACUCUGCAAUUUUGACGUUACCGACAGAAUAAGCACCGGCUAACUCUGUGCCAGCAGCCGCGGUAAUACAGAGGGUGCAAGCGUUAAUCGGAAUUACUGGGCGUAAAGCGCGCGUAGGUGGUUUGUUAAGUUGGAUGUGAAAUCCCCGGGCUCAACCUGGGAACUGCAUCCAAAACUGGCAAGCUAGAGUAUGGUAGAGGGUGGUGGAAUUUCCUGUGUAGCGGUGAAAUGCGUAGAUAUAGGAAGGAACACCAGUGGCGAAGGCGACCACCUG
RNAcentral lists this ribosomal RNA (708 nucleotides) under uncultured Pseudomonadota bacterium. Its description in RNAcentral is "bacterial SSU rRNA". It matches the Rfam family "Bacterial small subunit ribosomal RNA", at positions 28 to 731 of the family's 1533-position model. Lineage: Bacteria; Pseudomonadati; Pseudomonadota. The record is from RNAcentral.